UCACGGUUUGCACCGGCAGUCUUGCUAGAGUCCCCGCCACUACGCGAUGGUAACUAACAAUAGGGGUUGCGCUCGUUAUAGGACUUAACCUGACACCUCACGGCACGAGCUGACGACAACCAUGCAGCACCUUGUAAAUUGUCCGAAGAAAAAUCUGUUUCCAAAUCUGUCAAUCUACAUUUAAGCCCUGGUAAGGUUCCUCGCGUAUCAUCGAAUUAAACCACAUGCUCCACCGCUUGUGCGGGCCCCCGUCAAUUCCUUUGAGUUUCAUUCUUGCGAACGUACUCCCCAGGUGGGAUACUUAUCACUUUCGCUUAGCCACUCAGUCCGAAAACCGAACAGCUAGUAUCCAUCGUUUACGGCGUGGACUAC
RNAcentral lists this unclassified non-coding RNA (372 nucleotides) under uncultured Flavobacteriaceae bacterium. RNAcentral describes it as "contains 16S-23S intergenic spacer region". The record is from RNAcentral. Lineage: Bacteria; Pseudomonadati; Bacteroidota; Flavobacteriia; Flavobacteriales; Flavobacteriaceae.